RNAcentral lists this long non-coding RNA (141 nucleotides) under Lynx pardinus (Iberian lynx). The record is from RNAcentral. Lineage: Eukaryota; Metazoa; Chordata; Mammalia; Carnivora; Felidae.
UGGUAUUCAUUGCAGGAACUGCUGACGUUCAGGGAUGUGGCCAUAGAAUUCUCUCAGGACGAGUGGGGAUUCCUGAACGUCGUUCAGUGGGAACUGUACAGGGAUGUGAUGUUAGAGAACUACGGACACCUCCUUUUCUUG